Molecule: ribosomal RNA, 482 nt
Filed under: uncultured bacterium
Lineage: Bacteria
Description: bacterial SSU rRNA
Rfam family: Bacterial small subunit ribosomal RNA
Source: RNAcentral
CAGGCCUAACACAUGCAAGUCGGACGGGAUUGGGAGCUUGCUCCCAUGAGAGUGGCGCACGGGUGCGUAACACGUAUGUAACCUACCUUUAUCAGGGGGAUAGCCUCUCGAAAGAGAGAUUAACACCGCAUAACAUGAUUGAGUAGCAUUAUUUAAUCAUCAAAUAUUUAUAGGAUAAAGAUGGGCAUGCGGGACAUUAGCUAGUUGGCGGGGUAACGGCCCACCAAGGCGACGAUGUCUAGGGGAUCUGAGAGGAUGGCCCCCCACACUGGUACUGAGACACGGACCAGACUCCUACGGGAGGCAGCAGUAAGGAAUAUUGGUCAAUGGGCGCAAGCCUGAACCAGCCAUGCCGCGUGCAGGAAGACGGCCCUACGGGUUGUAAACUGCUUUUGCGCCGGAAUAAACCCCUUUAUGUAUAGAGGGCUGAAUGUACGGCGAGAAUAAGGAUCGUCUAACUCCGUGCCAGCAGCCGCGGUAAU